UACGGAGGGUGCAAGCGUUAUCCGGAUUCACUGGGUUUAAAGGGUGCGUAGGUGGGCAGGUAAGUCAGUGGUGAAAUCUCCGGGCUUAACCCGGAAACUGCCAUUGAUACUAUCUGUCUUGAAUACCGUGGAGGUGAGCGGAAUAUGUCAUGUAGCGGUGAAAUGCUUAGAUAUGACAUAGAACACCAAUUGCGAAGGCAGCUCACUACACGAAUAUUGACACCGAGGCACGAAAGCGUGGGGAUCAAACAGG
Molecule: ribosomal RNA, 253 nt
Filed under: uncultured bacterium
Lineage: Bacteria
Description: partial 16S ribosomal RNA
Rfam family: Bacterial small subunit ribosomal RNA
Source: RNAcentral